UACGGAGGAUGCAAGCGUUAUCCGGAUUUAUUGGGUUUAAAGGGCGCGUAGGCGGCUUGAUAAGUCUGGAGUGAAAGUCCUGCUUUUAAGGUGGGAAUUGCUUUGGAUACUGUCGGGCUUGAGUGCAGGAGAGGUAAGUGGAAUUCCCGGUGUAGCGGUGAAAUGCGUAGAGAUCGGGAGGAACACCAGUGGCGAAGGCGACUUACUGGACUGUAACUGACGCUGAGGCGCGAAAGUGCGGGGAGCAAACAGGAUUAGAUACCCGCGUAGUCCCU
Molecule: ribosomal RNA, 275 nt
Filed under: uncultured prokaryote
Description: partial 16S ribosomal RNA
Rfam family: Bacterial small subunit ribosomal RNA
Source: RNAcentral